Hevea brasiliensis (rubber tree) is the source of this 1144-nucleotide long non-coding RNA. RefSeq lists it as uncharacterized. NCBI's taxonomy places the organism in Eukaryota, Viridiplantae, Streptophyta, Magnoliopsida, Malpighiales, Euphorbiaceae. The record is from RefSeq and is a predicted model, not a curated record. The transcript has 2 exons.
AAUUUAAUUAACAGUAAAUUAAUUUUGAUCGUAAUAAUAGUGACUAAAUUAUUCAAUGUUAAAAUGUUAAAGACUAAAUUUAUUGACAUUAAAACUACUUUGGCUAAAUUGUAGGUUUGAACAACUCUAAGACAUUAAAUUAAAAUUUACCCUUGUUAAAUUAUUAUGGUCAUGCAUCUACAACAAUAAAAAAAAAGGGGGUUAAUUGGCCCUUCUUUAUUUAAGAAUUACUCUUGUAUAUUUAUAUAUUUAUAUUGAACGCUCUUUACAAAUGAAUAAUGUAUUUUCAUUAAUAGAACGUUUCAGAAUUUUUUUUAGAUCCACCAGUACAUACAUGGCAUAACUCUAUAUAAAUAAUAAAACUUCACAAAUCUCAAUAUAUUCACAAAAAUGAAAUUUAGCCGCACAAUGUUCAUAAAUCUACAUUGGAAAAAAUGUUCAUAAACCUAAUUAUAUAUCCCAAAUUCAACCAAUCAAUCCUUUCUCUUUUUCUGAGAUUUUCUUCGCAUUCUCUAGUGGAAUUUGCCCCUUCCGGGCAAGGAGAGCCCUUCUCCUUGUUUGGUUUUUGUUUGGAGAUACUAGAGAGGGUGCUUGACGGAUGACCUACUUUUAUGGGUGGUAAUAUUGCUUCGACUCUGCUUGGGCCAUGGCCACCUGGGGUGUAGAGAUUGUCUAAGUGAGGGUACUACUUUACUUGUCGGUUUGGAGGAUGGGUAUUUAUGGGGACGUUACUGGCAUCUUUGAAAGCGCCCAAUCCUUACGCUCUGCCGCACCUCCUCGUGGAGCUUCCUAGAUUCUGUGAUUGUUUGUGAUCUUGAGAUGAGUUUGCAAUUUUUUCGUACAGGGACUGGUUGAAAAUGAGUUUCUAUUCUCACAUUCAGUGUCUGUCUUCUCUUUUCUGUGUGCCUUUAUGGUUCUUCAGUGCUGUGUCCUGUGCUUCGUUUGCAUGUUGCGGCGGCGCUAAUAUUUGCUUCCUCCUUUUCAAUUGAGUUGGAUCUUAAGUUGCCCUAUAAGCUCUAAGGGUUUUUUGCUUACUGCACUUUGAGCCUUUUAUUUGUAUGAGGCUUGUGGUGGUUUGUAUUGGGUUAAUCCUGUAAGAUAUAUUUGGUAUAGUAUGAUGAAAGUUGUAAUGUAAUUUUAAUUA